RNAcentral lists this ribosomal RNA (744 nucleotides) under uncultured bacterium. RNAcentral's name for it is "bacterial SSU rRNA". It matches the Rfam family "Bacterial small subunit ribosomal RNA", at positions 8 to 796 of the family's 1533-position model. The record is from RNAcentral.
AGAGUUUGAUCAUGGCUCAGAGCGAACGCUGGCGGCAGGCUUAACACAUGCAAGUCGAGCGGGCGUAGCAAUACGUCAGCGGCAGACGGGUGAGUAACGCGUGGGAACAUACCUUUUGGUUCGGAACAACACAGGGAAACUUGUGCUAAUACCGGAUAAGCCCUUACGGGGAAAGAUUUAUCGCCGAAAGAUUGGCCCGCGUCUGAUUAGCUAGUUGGUGAGGUAACGGCUCACCAAGGCGACGAUCAGUAGCUGGUCUGAGAGGAUGAUCAGCCACAUUGGGACUGAGACACGGCCCAAACUCCUACGGGAGGCAGCAGUGGGGAAUAUUGGACAAUGGGCGCAAGCCUGAUCCAGCCAUGCCGCGUGAGUGAUGAAGGCCCUAGGGUUGUAAAGCUCUUUUGUGCGGGAAGAUAAUGACGGUACCGCAAGAAUAAGCCCCGGCUAACUUCGUGCCAGCAGCCGCGGUAAUACGAAGGGGGCUAGCGUUGCUCGGAAUCACUGGGCGUAAAGGGUGCGUAGGCGGGUCUUUAAGUCAGGGGUGAAAUCCUGGAGCUCAACUCCAGAACUGCCUUUGAUACUGAGGAUCUUGAGCUCGGGAGAGGUGAGUGGAACUGCGAGUGUAGAGGUGAAAUUCGUAGAUAUUCGCAAGAACACCAGUGGCGAAGGCGGCUCACUGGCCCGAUACUGACGCUGAGGCACGAAAGCGUGGGGAGCAAACAGGAUUAGAUACCCCAGUAGUCC